CGACGCUUGGAAUCAAGAUGCUUUGGGCCCGGGAAAGUAAUAGCUACCGAUCAAGGGGAUCUCUUCACGGUAGCCGGUAUAGCCGGUCAGGUGCGACCCGCAAGGGCGAGAAGGCAAUGGCAGGGCAGCGUAAAACCCCAACCACGGGCGCUGUCACUGUCCUAAAACCCACCGACCGCCAGACGCCGAAGAGGGCAGGGAGCGCAGAGGUAACCCACUCCCGAAAGUCUGGAACGCCU
This 239-nucleotide non-coding RNA is filed under the name unclassified sequences. RNAcentral describes it as "PAGEV RNA". It matches the Rfam family "PAGEV RNA". The record is from Rfam by way of RNAcentral.